GACGAACGCUGGCGGCGUGGAUUAGGCAUGCAAGUCGAACGGUAGGAUACCUUCGGGUAUCUGAGAGUGGCGAACGGGUGAGUAACACGUAGGUGAUCUACCCUCAAGAUUGGGACAACCCAGGGAAACUUGGGCUAAUACCGGAUGAAAGCAGCAGUGAUGUUGUUUGAAAGGUGGCGUAAGCUGCCGUUUGGGGAUGAGCCUGCGCUCUAUUAGUUAGUUGGCGGGGUAAAGGCCCACCAAGGCGAUGAUAGAUAGGCGGCCUUAACGGGUGGUCGCCCACACUGGGAUUGAGAUACGGCCCAGACUCCUACGGGAGGCAGCAGUCGAGAAUAGUCUACAAUGGCCGAAAGGCUGAUAGUGCGACGCCGCGUGAACGAAGAAGCCCUUCGGGUGUAAAGUUCUUUUAUAUGUGAGCAGUGCUUUCUAUGUGAACAGCAUGGGAGAGAGAUAUUAGCAUAUGAAUAAGCAACGGCUAAUCCGUGCCAGC
RNAcentral lists this ribosomal RNA (490 nucleotides) under uncultured bacterium. RNAcentral describes it as "bacterial SSU rRNA". It matches the Rfam family "Bacterial small subunit ribosomal RNA", at positions 28 to 512 of the family's 1533-position model. The record is from RNAcentral.